Molecule: ribosomal RNA, 253 nt
Filed under: uncultured bacterium
Lineage: Bacteria
Description: partial 16S ribosomal RNA
Rfam family: Bacterial small subunit ribosomal RNA
Source: RNAcentral
UACGUAGGGGGCAAGCGUUGUCCGGAAUCAUUGGGCGUGAAGCGCGCGUAGGCGGCCCGGUAAGUCCGCUGUGAAAGUCCAGGGCUCAACCCUGGAAUGCCGGUGGAUACUGUCGGGCUAGAGUCCGGAAGAGGCGAGUGGAAUUCCUGGUGUAGCGGUGGAAUGCGCAGAUAUCAGGAGGAACACCGAUGGCGAAGGCAGCUCGCUGGGACGGUACUGACGCUGAGGCGCGAAAGCGUGGGGAGCGAACAGG